AAGUCGAGCGAGAACGCACCUUCGGGUGUUAGUAAAGCGGCGCACGGGUGAGUAACACGUGGAUAAUCUACCCUCAGGUUUGGGAUAACUCGAAGAAAUUCGGGCUAAUACCGGAUGAGACCACAGUGCGAGAGCACAGUGGGAAAAGCGGAGGACCUCUUCGGAGACUUCGUGCCAGGGGAUGAGUCCGCGGUCCAUCAGCUUGUUGGCGGGGUAAUGGCCCACCAAGGCUAAGACGGAUAGCUGGUCUGAGAGGAUGAUCAGCCACACUGGAACUGAGACACGGUCCAGACUCCUACGGGAGGCAGCAGUGGGGAAUAUUGCGCAAUGGGCGAAAGCCUGACGCAGCAACGCCGUGUGUGUGAUGAAGGCCCUCGGGUCGUAAAGCACUGUCGGGAGCCAAGAUGGCUUGAGGAGUUAAUAACUUCUUAGGCUGACGGUACCUACAAAGGAAGCACCGGCUAACUCCGUGCCAGCAGCCGCGGUAAUACGGAGGGUGCAAACGUUGUUCGGAAUUAUUGGGCGUAAAGAGGGUGUAGGCGGCCGAGUAUGUCUGAUGUGAAAGCCCAGGGCUCAACCCUGGAAGUGCAUUGGAAACUGCUUAGCUUGAAUCUCGGAGAGGGUAGUGGAAUUCCUGGUGUAGAGGUGAAAUUCGUAGAUAUCAGGAGGAACACCGGUGGCGAAGGCGACUACCUGGACGAUGAUUGACGCUGAGACCCGAAAGCGUGGGGAGCAAACAGGAUUAGAUCCCUGGUAGUCCACAGCUGUAAACGAUGGAUACUAGUUGCUGCGGGAGAUGACACCUGCGGUGACGAAGCUAACGCAUUAAGUAUCCCGCCUGGGGAGUACGGCCGCAAGGCUGAAACUCAAAGGAAUUGACGGGGGCCCGCACAAGCGGUGGAACAUGUGGUUUAAUUCGACACAACGCGAAGAACCUUACCCAGGCUUGACAUUGAUGGAAUCUGCUAGAAAUAGCGGAGUGCCCUUCGGGGCCCUGAAAACAGGUGCUGCAUGGCUGUCGUCAGCUCGUGUCGUGAGAUGUUGGGUUAAGUCCCGCAACGAGCGCAACCCUUGCCGUUAGUUGCCAUCGGGUAAAGCCGGGCACUCUAACGGGACUGCCGGUGUCAAACCGGAGGAAGGUGGGGAUGACGUCAAGUCCUCAUGGCCUUUAUGUCUGGGGCUACACACGUGCUACAAUGGCCGCUACAGAGCGCUGCAAACCCGCGAGGGGGAGCUAAUCGCAAAAAAGCGGUCUCAGUUCGGAUCGGAGUCUGCAACUCGACUCCGUGAAGUCGGAAUCGCUAGUAAUCGUGGAUCAGCAUGCCACGGUGAAUACGUUCCCGGGCCUUGUACACACCGCCCGUCACACCAUGGGAGUCGAUUGCUCCAGAAGUCCGUGGGCCAACCGUAAGGAGGCAGCG
This 1421-nucleotide ribosomal RNA is filed under the name uncultured prokaryote. Its description in RNAcentral is "partial 16S ribosomal RNA". It matches the Rfam family "Bacterial small subunit ribosomal RNA". The record is from RNAcentral.